Oncorhynchus keta (chum salmon) is the source of this 289-nucleotide long non-coding RNA. RefSeq lists it as uncharacterized. The transcript has 3 exons. Lineage: Eukaryota; Metazoa; Chordata; Actinopteri; Salmoniformes; Salmonidae. The record is from RefSeq and is a predicted model, not a curated record.
UAUAUAAUGUGGUUAUAGCAGGUAUAUAAUAUGGUUAUAACAGGUGUAUAAUAUGGUUAUAACAGGUGUAUAUGGUUAUAACAGGUGUAUAAUAUGGUUAUAACAGGUGUAUAAUAUGGUUAUAACAGGUGUAUAAUAUGGUUAUAACAGGUGUAUAUGGUUAUAGCAGGUAUAUAAUAUGGUUAUAACAGGUAUAUAAUGUGGUUAUAGCAGGUAUAUAAUGUGGUUAUAGCAGGUAUAUGUGGUUAUGACAGGUAUAUAAUGUGGUUAUAACAGGUAUAUAAUGUGG